RNAcentral lists this ribosomal RNA (122 nucleotides) under Staphylococcus epidermidis. RNAcentral's name for it is "partial 16S ribosomal RNA". It matches the Rfam family "Bacterial small subunit ribosomal RNA", at positions 396 to 510 of the family's 1533-position model. Lineage: Bacteria; Bacillati; Bacillota; Bacilli; Caryophanales; Staphylococcaceae. The record is from RNAcentral.
GCCGCGUGAGUGAUGAAGGUCUUCGGAUCGUAAAACUCUGUUAUUAGGGAAGAACAAAUGUGUAAGUAACUAUGCACGUCUUGACGGUACCUAAUCAGAAAGCCACGGCUAACUACGUGCCA